RNAcentral lists this ribosomal RNA (492 nucleotides) under uncultured bacterium. RNAcentral's name for it is "partial 16S ribosomal RNA". It matches the Rfam family "Bacterial small subunit ribosomal RNA", at positions 29 to 507 of the family's 1533-position model. The record is from RNAcentral.
AGUGAACGCUGGCGGUAGGCCUAACACAUGCAAGUCGAACGGCAGCACAGUAAGAGCUUGCUCUUACGGGUGGCGAGUGGCGGACGGGUGAGGAAUACAUCGGAAUCUACUUUUUCGUGGGGGAUAACGUAGGGAAACUUACGCUAAUACCGCAUACGACCUACGGGUGAAAGCAGGGGAUCUUCGGACCUUGCGCGAUUGAAUGAGCCGAUGUCGGAUUAGCUAGUUGGCGGGGUAAAGGCCCACCAAGGCGACGAUCCGUAGCUGCUCUGAGAGGAUGAUCAGACACACUGGAACUGAGAAACGGUCCAGACUCCUACGGGAGGCAGCAGUGGGGAAUAUUGGACAAUGGGCGCAAGCCUGAUCCAGCCAUACCGCGUGGGUGAAGAAGGCCUUCGGGUUGUAAAGCCCUUUUGUUGGUAAAGAAAAGCAGCAGGUUAAUACCCCGCUGUUCUGACGGUACCCAAAGAAUAAGCACCGGCUAACUUCGUG